This 68-nucleotide transfer RNA is filed under the name Camelus bactrianus (Bactrian camel). It matches the Rfam family "tRNA". From Rfam's summary of the family: Transfer RNA (tRNA) molecules are approximately 80 nucleotides in length. Their secondary structure includes four short double-helical elements and three loops (D, anti-codon, and T loops). Further hydrogen bonds mediate the characteristic L-shaped molecular structure. tRNAs have two regions of fundamental functional importance: the anti-codon, which is responsible for specific mRNA codon recognition, and the 3' end, to which the tRNAs corresponding amino acid is attached (by aminoacyl-tRNA synthetases). tRNAs cope with the degeneracy of the genetic code in two manners: having more than one tRNA (with a specific anti-codon) for a particular amino acid; and 'wobble' base-pairing, i.e. permitting non-standard base-pairing at the 3rd anti-codon position. Lineage: Eukaryota; Metazoa; Chordata; Mammalia; Artiodactyla; Camelidae. RNAcentral also lists the same sequence under 2 other names. The record is from Rfam by way of RNAcentral.
GGGGGUGUAGCUCAGUGGGAGAGCACAGGCUUAGCACAAGGUCCUGGGUUCAAUCCCCAGUACCGCCU